Molecule: long non-coding RNA, 630 nt
Filed under: Gallus gallus (chicken)
Lineage: Eukaryota; Metazoa; Chordata; Aves; Galliformes; Phasianidae
Description: lncRNA (ENSGALG00010021587.1)
Source: RNAcentral
AUCUGAUCUAACAGACACAUUCUGGCAAUACCACACCCCCUGCUCCUCAACACCCACCAGCAGGAUGCACAUCUCUUCCAGAGCUGCGGAGCAGCUGGAAAUGGAAGGAAUGAUAACCUCCAGGACAAUCCUGAGUCAUAAAAUAUUGAUAAUAAUUGACUCAAAGAAAGAAAGAAGAGUUUUCUAGGAAAGCUACGAGACAACUGAGGAAACAUGUCUAGGAGAGUGAAACCUCAGUCAUGGCAAAGCACUUCUGGAAUCCAAAUGAAGAUGGAGAUGUCAUGGAAACUUGGAUCUGGAUGAUCCAACAUUCCUCCAGCUUUGCAGUGGAAGGCCAUGGAGAUACUGCAUGACAGAGAAGGAGGUGCACCCAUGUUCCCCCUCACAAGGACAUGAGGGAAUUGGGACCAACUGCUGCUGCCACCACUGCCACCUGCUGAGAUCUCCAGCUCAAAGUGACCUGGACCUACUCCAUCUUCUGGGGCAGAGAGCUCUUGCAUGUCUGAAUCCUCCUGGACAGCUGGUUGGUUUAACUCCUUCCACUGCCUUCACCUCCCGCAGUAAGGCAGCACCGGGAGCAGCAGAACGAACCCCAGCAGGGCUGGAAAACAGAAAAGGGUUUGAGUUAUG